GGGGAGCAGAGAUAGGCACAGCUGCUCCCGGUAGUGGGGCUCACAAGGCUCAUUGCCACCUUACAUUAAGGUGGGUGCAGCGUCUCCGCACACGGCACCCCCAGCCCAAGCAAGAGCAUCGGCCAAGCUGGUUCACACCAGGAACUGGGGUUUGAAGAGCCGGAAGCAAGGCCUCUGCAGGAAACACCCAGCAAGCAAGAGAAGCCAGACUACGCACAAGGGAAAGGAGGGCAUCUGAACAUGUUCGUUACAGCUCUCUGCUCUAUCAUGGGAGGCAGUCUGAAACAGAAGGCUGGAGCAGUUAACCCCACAAGGACAGCAAUGAUGUUCUGUAGGGGAAGCCUGAGAGGCUAUGGUGUGGAGGCCGACCAAGCGUGGGAAUCUAAAAUCGGCAGGAAAGGGUGGGGGUCUCUCUGCAGGGCCCACCACUUACCAGUCGGCCUUCCAAGCAGUCGACGGCGGCCCCCCGGGCCAGCAGGUACCGCACGCAGUCCGGGUGUCCCAUGGAGGCAGCCUCGUGCAGAGAGAGCCCGCUUGUAGUCCUGGUGGACGGCUUCGAUGUCCAGGUCCCAGAUAGGCCAAGAUGUCCCAGCGGCUGUGGCGCGUAAAGUGUGCAGGAGGGUAUCUCCGGCAGACCCCGCGCAGCCCGCGCGCCCAGCCGCGUGCAGCUCCUCUCAUCCAGCACCAACCAGCACAGCCGCCGCGGAACCCGGAGCGCGGUCAUGGCCACGGGCUCGAGUCCUGCGGGAACGCUUGGCGACCCUCCCCCGGACCCGCCCCGCGAUCCUCCUCCACCCUGCCUGUCAGGACCCUUCCCCAGACGCCCCGACCUUCCCCCACACCCUCAGGUUCCGAGCUGACCACGCGACCCGCGGGCCGCAGCGAACGCACGCGCGGAGACUACCGCCCGCACUGGUUUCACUUUGAGGAGAAACAUUAGGUG
Bos taurus (domestic cattle) is the source of this 943-nucleotide long non-coding RNA. The record is from Ensembl. Lineage: Eukaryota; Metazoa; Chordata; Mammalia; Artiodactyla; Bovidae.